This 1020-nucleotide long non-coding RNA is filed under the name Parus major (Great Tit). RNAcentral describes it as "lncRNA (ENSPMJG00000001777.1)". Lineage: Eukaryota; Metazoa; Chordata; Aves; Passeriformes; Paridae. The record is from RNAcentral.
AAAAUCUGAGGCUCUGAUGUCUUAGAUUUUUUUAUUUUCCUCUACCCCAUCUAUAUCAGAUGGACUUUUCUCUGAGGUACUCCUUCAAUCCUUGAUCAGACACCAGGAGGUCUCAGGAUGACUUAGAGCCGUUUCUGAUAUGAUGUCUUUUCCUUGCUGUUUGUCAUAUGGUUAAAUCCUGCAACCUGCACCAUGAAGAAUAUAGAUGUCUGGAAGAAAACAGACCAAGGUGGUCUGUUGCCCUCUGACUGCAGAAAGGCUUACAGGGCUGAAGGGAAAGCUGUGACCUUGUACUACUCGCAUGGCAGGUAUCAGUUUCAAAGAAACUUUCAUCAGAAGAGGUUUGUCAGCCAUCGGAUGGAAUUUCUGGUCGAGACCAGGAGGAGAUGGCAAAGUUGGAGUAUCAGGUAGCGCCGUGAUCGGUCAGGGCACUCACCUGGAAUGUGGAAAAUCAAGGUUCAGGCCUGGGGACUUGAACCUGAGAUUUACAGAGUGCCCUGAACCAGGCUUUGGAGCUGUUUGCUCGCUGUGCAUUUAACUGUUUAUGUAAAGUGCUAGUGAGCAGGAGAUCUCGAGACCUGGUGUGUCCCCGAUGUGUCGGACUGGACAAAGACCUGAGGCAGUCUGUGGGAAAUGGGAGAAAGUGGCAAAGCAGGCAGCACUGUGUGCUUUAAUUUCCCACCUUUUAGAUACUGCCUGCUCAUCUCUCAUUCUUGUGUAUAAAAUUUAAAAAGUCUUGGUCCUGCUGAGGAACGGGGACAUUUGUGAAAUCUCAUGAUUUCACAAAUUUGCAAAGUGCAAAACCUGCUUCUCCCAUCCCACUGCUAUCCUCUUUGCCAUAGAAACUAAUUUCAAAAAUCCACUGAAUUCCUGGGAGCAAACUGUGACUCAUGUAAAAUGAUUUGUCAAUUGCUGGAGAAUUCACUGGAUGUAAGGUUUCUUGUAAGUACAAAAUUGCAGUCUCUUAAUAAGACAGCUUUUAAAAAUAAAACACUUUUUUAAAUUUUAAAAAAUUUUGUA